CAUUGAAUAGCUCAGUGGUAAGAGCAGUCGCCCGGCAAGCGAAAGACUCGGGUUCGAUUCCCGAUUCAGCGA
Molecule: transfer RNA, 72 nt
Filed under: Camponotus floridanus (Florida carpenter ant)
Lineage: Eukaryota; Metazoa; Arthropoda; Insecta; Hymenoptera; Formicidae
Rfam family: tRNA
About the family: Transfer RNA (tRNA) molecules are approximately 80 nucleotides in length. Their secondary structure includes four short double-helical elements and three loops (D, anti-codon, and T loops). Further hydrogen bonds mediate the characteristic L-shaped molecular structure. tRNAs have two regions of fundamental functional importance: the anti-codon, which is responsible for specific mRNA codon recognition, and the 3' end, to which the tRNAs corresponding amino acid is attached (by aminoacyl-tRNA synthetases). tRNAs cope with the degeneracy of the genetic code in two manners: having more than one tRNA (with a specific anti-codon) for a particular amino acid; and 'wobble' base-pairing, i.e. permitting non-standard base-pairing at the 3rd anti-codon position.
Source: Rfam by way of RNAcentral